Molecule: transfer RNA, 109 nt
Filed under: Sporisorium reilianum SRZ2
Lineage: Eukaryota; Fungi; Basidiomycota; Ustilaginomycetes; Ustilaginales; Ustilaginaceae
Description: tRNA-Arg for anticodon CCU
Rfam family: tRNA
About the family: Transfer RNA (tRNA) molecules are approximately 80 nucleotides in length. Their secondary structure includes four short double-helical elements and three loops (D, anti-codon, and T loops).
Source: RNAcentral
GCGCUCUUGGCGUAGUGGUAGCGCGUGUCUCUCCUACUUACAUGUGUUCGAUGCGAACGUGCAGGAUUUCUGUAAGACGAGGUCGUGGGUUCGACCCCCACAGGGCGCU